UACAGAGGUCUCAAGCGUUGUUCGGAUUCAUUGGGCGUAAAAGGUGCGUAGGCGGCGCGGUAAGUCGGGUGUGAAAUCUCGGAGCUUAACUCCGAAACUGCAUUCGAUACUGCGGUGCUUGAGGACUGGAGAGGAGACUGGAAUUCAUGGUGUAGCAGUGAAAUGCGUAGAGAUCAUGAGGAAGACCAGUGGCGAAGGCGGGUCUCUGGACAGUUCCUGACACUGAGACACGAAGGCCAGGGGAGCAAACGGG
RNAcentral lists this ribosomal RNA (253 nucleotides) under uncultured bacterium. RNAcentral's name for it is "partial 16S ribosomal RNA". It matches the Rfam family "Bacterial small subunit ribosomal RNA", at positions 524 to 776 of the family's 1533-position model. The record is from RNAcentral.